GCUGUCUGGGCUUGGUGCCAAGGGCUGGUAUUUCACAGCAGCGACCGCCUCACAGACGAGCUGUGGGAAGCAGGAGGGAGACUCUCUCUUAGGGUGCCACUACUAUGGAGACACAGCUGGGCUGAACAAGAUUUGCUUCAAACGACAACAAGAGAGACAGAAAGUAUCUGGUUCAACCGCUGCCCAAGCAGGCAGGCACCAGAAGAGCUAGCAGCCAAUCCCGCCAUGCUUGAAGCCAGCUCUGCAGCUCAGCCAAUCAGUGACAUCACUGGAAUUUCUUCAGAUUGCACAUGGUGAUGUGAAGAUGGAAUUUAAUGACAAUAAUCAGUCAGUGCUUUGCUUGGAGUCAGUUCAAUACUCUGGAGACCAGAUAUCUAAGUGAUGUGUUAAAAGGAAUGAAAUUAAGAAGAAGAGCAGAGGAGAAUUUCAUCACUGUGAAUGA
This is a long non-coding RNA of Nannospalax galili (Upper Galilee mountains blind mole rat), 442 nucleotides long. RefSeq lists it as uncharacterized. NCBI's taxonomy places the organism in Eukaryota, Metazoa, Chordata, Mammalia, Rodentia, Spalacidae. The record is from RefSeq and is a predicted model, not a curated record. The transcript is spliced from 3 exons.